UACGUAGGGGGCAAGCGUUGUCCGGAAUCAUUGGGCGUAAAGCGCGCGUAGGCGGCCUCACAAGUCCGCUGUAAAAGUCAAAGGCUCAACCUUUGAAUGCCAGUGGAAACUGUGAGGCUAGAGUCCGGAAGAGGCGAGUGGAAUUCCUGGUGUAGCGGUGGAAUGCGCAGAUAUCAGGAGGAACACCAAUGGCGAAGGCAGCUCGCUGGAACGGUACUGACGCUGAGGCGCGAAAGCGUGGGGAGCAAACAGG
Molecule: ribosomal RNA, 253 nt
Filed under: uncultured bacterium
Lineage: Bacteria
Description: partial 16S ribosomal RNA
Rfam family: Bacterial small subunit ribosomal RNA
Source: RNAcentral